Non-coding RNA from Caenorhabditis elegans, 21 nucleotides. The record is from Ensembl. Lineage: Eukaryota; Metazoa; Nematoda; Chromadorea; Rhabditida; Rhabditidae.
UAAUUGACGCUGCGGGUGUAC